GUUAGGAAUAUUGGACAAUGGGCGAAAGCCUGAUCCAGCCAUGCCGCGUGAACGAUGAAGGCCUUCGGGUUGUAAAGUUCUUUAGCCGAUGAUUAUAAUGACUGUAGUCGGAAAAUAAGCCCCGGCUAACUUCGUGCCAGCAGCCGCGGUAAUACGAAGGGGGCGAGCGUUAUUCGGAAUCACUGGGCGUAAAGCGUGCGUAGGCGGUUUUGUAAGUUAGGAGUGAAAGCCCAGGGCUCAACCUUGGAAUUGCUCUUAAAACUGCAAGGCUCGAAUCUCGGAGAGGAUAGCGGAAGUUCCAGUGUAGCAGUGAAAUGCGUAGAUAUUGGAAGGAACACCAGUGGCGUAAGCGGCUAUCUGGACGAGUAUUGACGCUGAGGCACGAAAGCGUGGGGAUCAAACAGGAUUAGAAACCCCUGUAGUCC
Molecule: ribosomal RNA, 425 nt
Filed under: uncultured bacterium
Lineage: Bacteria
Description: partial 16S ribosomal RNA
Rfam family: Bacterial small subunit ribosomal RNA
Source: RNAcentral